This is a long non-coding RNA of Sapajus apella (tufted capuchin), 2133 nucleotides long. RefSeq lists it as uncharacterized. Lineage: Eukaryota; Metazoa; Chordata; Mammalia; Primates; Cebidae. The record is from RefSeq and is a predicted model, not a curated record. The transcript is spliced from 2 exons.
UAUGUAGCUCUUUUGAAGACUUUAUGUCAAAAGUAAAGAACUUCAGACCCUACAGGGCCUAGUUUGGUGCCCAAAUUCUCUUAGCUUUCUGAAAAGAGAAUAAUCUAUAGUGUAUUCUUUUUGGAGUAUCUUUACUCACUCGUAAUUAGAUGUCUCUAACAGUAAUCAGCUCCAUACAUCUGGACAUGAUGACCCUCAGGCCCAUGAGAUUUAGGUGUUCUCAGCUAGCAGGACAAGUUCCCCUAAAAAUAGACUCAAGUGAAUCAUUCAAUGGUUAUGUUCCAGAUCAGUCUCCUAAAAUCCAGGUGGUCCUUUAUGCAGGGAUGGUGAUAUUGGAGCUUAGAAGGUUUAUACAGAUGAGGAGGAAAAAUGAGGGAAAUUUCUGUAAGGUUUUUGAAAAUUAUAGUUACAAAUGAACUGAUGAAUAUGUAAUUGAAUGUGGCUAAGUUGAUGUAGUUGUCUGUAAAACUAGUUGGUGGAAGGAAACUGUCUUUGACCACCAAGGAAGGUGCAGCUUGUGGCACGGCACAAAGAUAACACUCAGCAGAUACACAGCUAUGAGAUGCAUGGAUGGAUGGAUAGAUGGGUGGGUGGAUGGAUGGAUAUGUGGAUGGAUAGGUAGGUUGACAGGUAGAUGGAUGGCUGGAUGGAUGCAUGGAUGUGUGGAAUGGUGGGUGGUAGGUGGGUACAUGUAUGUAUGUAUGUAUAUAUGGAUGGAUGGAUGGAUGGAUGAGUGGAUGCAAUAUGUGUAUGGGUAAGUAAGGGGGGAUAAAUGAAAGGCCUGUUCCCCUGAAGGGACUCUUCACAAAGAAUCUUUGAUCUUCCAUCUUUCACAUGUAAGAGACUCCCCAGUGUGAGCUUGUUAACAUAAGCAUUUUCUGGCUAUCACUCCCAGAUAUUUUGAUUCAGUAAGUCUGAGGAGGAACUUGGGGAACUUUAUCUUUUAAACAAGUACCUCAGGUCAUCACAGUAGUCUUACUGUCCUGAAUCUUAAUGCAUCUCUAUUUCUACGGCAUCUUCCAUGCAAUUGAUUUUGCAGAAAUCAUUCUGUGGUUCCAUAUUCCUGUAUUACCUGCAUCCAAGAGCUAUUGCUUUCAAAUUUACAUCAAGCGCAAUUUGGCAGGUGUUAGGGACAGACCUGGUAGCCAAGUCUUUGUUGCCUGAAACAGAUCCCCUAUCUUCCCUUAUCGCUUGUCAGGACCUUCUUCCAGGCUGCUCCUGAACAAAUCUGCAUGUGCUUUCUACCUGUGAUUCAGUGGGUUAGGCCAUAAGGCAGCUUUGGACAGGUACAAUCCUAAGGUAAAAAAGAACAGGAAUGUCUCCCAGAGGAGAGAAGAGGAGCCUAGCCUUUGAUGAAGACAUCCAGCCUGUAGAUGACUUUCUGUGUGCUGUUAUUUGGAGGUGGCUUCUUUUUUCUCUGACCCAGUAGCUGAAUCCUAUGCCAGAGGGCAGAUAUUUUGGAUCAGCAAGGCAUCCUUUUUUUUUUUAUAAAAGGCAUCUGAUUGUGAAGGAAGGAAGAAAAUGCCCAAAGGCACCGGACAAGGGCUAGGAAGCUGUGGAGUUUCACACAUUCAUAAUUUCCUUGUAGGCCACGUUUACUCUCAGGAAUGACAGUCAUUUUCUAAGAAAGUGAGAUUGCUUCACAUCGCAUUUAAAGGCUUAAAUAAUGUAUCCUGUCAGACAAUUCUCUGAAAUGGUUUUCCAAGUGAAUGCAUCAGAAAGUGCCUAGAAAGAAUGCCUGGCACAGGAAGAGGCGGGCAUUCAGAAAAUGUGAGCUGCUUGCAUCAGAAUCUAACUUGAGAUGUAUCAUUCCUACGGUAGCGUGCACACAUAUUAAAUGUACAGUUCAAUGAACUACUUAUUCAUACAACUGUGUAAACACCACUCAGAUCAAGACAGAGAACAUUCCUAACACCUCAGAAGGCUCAUCUGUCCCCCUUCCUAACCAAUAAGUACCAUCAGCAUUAAGAGUUAACCACUGUUCUGAUUUCUAUCACCAUAGAUUUCUGCUCCUGAAAUUCAUGUAAAUAGUCACCCACCCAGUAUGCAUUCUUUGCUGUCUUGCUUCUUUUACUCCUCAUUAGGUUGUGGGAUAUACCCACGGUAUUUCAUUCUUUAUUGUCAUUCUUCUUG